UUAAAUGAGAGUUUGAUCCUGGCUCAGGACGAACGCUGGCGGCGUGCCUAAUACAUGCAAGUCGAGCGAUGAUUAAAGAUAGCUUGCUAUUUUUAUGAAGAGCGGCGAACGGGUGAGUAACGCGUGGGAAAUCUGCCGAGUAGCGGGGGACAACGUUUGGAAACGAACGCUAAUACCGCAUAACAAUGAGAAUCGCAUGAUUCUUAUUUAAAAGAAGCAAUUGCUUCACUACUUGAUGAUCCCGCGUUGUAUUAGCUAGUUGGUAGUGUAAAGGACUACCAAGCGAUGAUACAUAGCCGACCUGAGAGGGUGAUCGGCCACACUGGGACUGAGACACGGCCCAGACUCCUACGGGAGGCAGCAGUAGGGAAUCUUCGGCAAUGGGGGCAACCCUGACCGAGCAACGCCGCGUGAGUGAAGAAGGUUUUCGGAUCGUAAAACUCUGUUGUUAGAGAAGAACGUUAAGUAGAGUGGAAAAUUACUUAAGUGACGGUAUCUAACCAGAAAGGGACGGCUAACUACGUGCCAGCAGCCGCGGUAAUACGUAGGUCCCAAGCGUUGUCCGGAUUUAUUGGGCGUAAAGCGAGCGCAGGUGGUUUCUUAAGUCUGAUGUAAAAGGCAGUGGCUCAACCAUUGUGUGCAUUGGAAACUGGGAGACUUGAGUGCAGGAGAGGAGAGUGGAAUUCCAUGUGUAGCGGUGAAAUGCGUAGAUAUAUGGAGGAACACCGGAGGCGAAAGCGGCUCUCUGGCC
RNAcentral lists this ribosomal RNA (751 nucleotides) under Lactococcus garvieae TRF1. RNAcentral describes it as "bacterial SSU rRNA". It matches the Rfam family "Bacterial small subunit ribosomal RNA", at positions 1 to 734 of the family's 1533-position model. Lineage: Bacteria; Bacillati; Bacillota; Bacilli; Lactobacillales; Streptococcaceae. The record is from RNAcentral.